This 603-nucleotide ribosomal RNA is filed under the name uncultured fungus. RNAcentral's name for it is "eukaryotic LSU rRNA". It matches the Rfam family "Eukaryotic large subunit ribosomal RNA", at positions 23 to 641 of the family's 3401-position model. Lineage: Eukaryota; Fungi. The record is from RNAcentral.
ACCCGCUGAACUUAAGCAUAUCAAUAAGCGGAGGAAAAGAAACCAACAGGGAUUGCCCUAGUAACGGCGAGUGAAGCGGCAACAGCUCAAAUUUGAAAUCUGGCGUCUUUGGCGUCCGAGUUGUAAUUUGCAGAGGGCGCUUUGGCAUUGGCAGCGGUCCAAGUUCCUUGGAACAGGACGUCACAGAGGGUGAGAAUCUCGUACGUGGUCGCUAGCCUUUACCGUGUAAAGCCCCUUCGACGAGUCGAGUUGUUUGGGAAUGCAGCUCUAAAUGGGAGGUAAAUUUCUUCUAAAGCUAAAUACUGGCCAGAGACCGAUAGCGCACAAGUAGAGUGAUCGAAAGAUGAAAAGCACUUUGGAAAGAGAGUUAAAAAGCACGUGAAAUUGUUGAAAGGGAAGCGCUUGCAGCCAGACUUGCCUGUAGUUGCUCAUCCGGGUUUUUACCCGGUGCACUCUUCUAUAGGCAGGCCAGCAUCAGUUUGGGCGGUUGGAUAAAGGUCUCUGUCAUGUACCUCUCUUCGGGGAGAACUUAUAGGGGAGACGACAUGCAACCAGCCCGGACUGAGGUCCGCGCAUCUGCUAGGAUGCUGGCGUAAUGGCUGU